RNAcentral lists this ribosomal RNA (460 nucleotides) under uncultured bacterium. RNAcentral describes it as "partial 16S ribosomal RNA". It matches the Rfam family "Bacterial small subunit ribosomal RNA", at positions 338 to 795 of the family's 1533-position model. The record is from RNAcentral.
CCUACGGGUGGCUGCAGUGAGGAAUAUUGGUCAAUGGGCGUGAGCCUGAACCAGCCAAGUAGCGUGAAGGAUGACUGCCCUACGGGUUGUAAACUUCUUUUAUAAAGGAAUAAAGUGAGGCACGUGUGCUUUUUUGUAUGUACCUCAUGAAUAAGGAUCGGCUAAUUCCGUGCCAGCAGCCGCGGUAAUACGGAGGGUCCGAGCGUUAUCCGGAUUUAUUGGGUUUAAAGGGAGCGUAGGUGGGUUGUUAAGUGAGUUGUGAAAGUUUGUGGCUCAACCAUGAAAUUGCAAUUGAAACUGGCAGUCUUGAGUGCAGGUGAGGUAGGCGGAAUUCGUGGUGUAGCGGUGAAAUGCUUAGAUAUCACGAAGAACUCCGAUUGCGAAGGCAGCUUACUGAACUGCCACUGACGUUGAUGCUCGAAGGUGUGGGUAUCAAACAGGAGUAGAUACCCGUGUAGUC